GGAGGAAUGACUGAGUGGCUGAAGGUGUUGGUUUGCUAAAUCAAUAUAUUUAAUUUAAAAUAUCAUGGGUUCGAAUCCCAUUUCCUCUG
RNAcentral lists this transfer RNA (89 nucleotides) under Halobacteriovorax sp. Its description in RNAcentral is "tRNA-Ser". It matches the Rfam family "tRNA". From Rfam's summary of the family: Transfer RNA (tRNA) molecules are approximately 80 nucleotides in length. The record is from RNAcentral. Lineage: Bacteria; Pseudomonadati; Bdellovibrionota; Bacteriovoracia; Bacteriovoracales; Halobacteriovoraceae.